This 433-nucleotide ribosomal RNA is filed under the name uncultured bacterium. RNAcentral's name for it is "partial 16S ribosomal RNA". It matches the Rfam family "Bacterial small subunit ribosomal RNA", at positions 29 to 507 of the family's 1533-position model. The record is from RNAcentral.
AACGAACGCUGGCGGCAUGCCUAACACAUGCAAGUCGAACGAGACCUUCGGGUCUAGUGGCGCACGGGUGCGUAACGCGUGGGCACCUGCCCUUAGGUUCGGAAUAACUCCCCGAAAGGGGUGCUAAUACCGGAUAAUGUCUUCGGACCAAAGAUUUAUCGCCUUUGGAUGGGCCCGCGUUGGAUUAGCUAGUUGGUAGGGUAAAAGCCUACCAAGGCGACGAUCCAUAGCUGGUCUGAGAGGAUGAUCAGCCACACUGGGACUGAGGCACGGCCCAGACUCCUACGGGAGGCAGCAGUAGGGAAUAUUGGACAAUGGGCGAAAGCCUGAUCCAGCAAUGCCGCGUGAGUGAUGAAGGCGUUAGGGUUGUAAAGCUCUUUUACCCGGGAUGAUAAUGACAGUACCGGGAGAAUAAGCACCGGCUAACUCCGUG